CUUUUCUCUUGCUUUUGUUUACUUUUCUUUAUUAACCCACCUCUCAAAAACCCCAUAUAUUGGAGUCUAACCUAGUAAAAUUAGUUCCCAAUGUUUUAUAAUUAAAUUUAAUCACACUGAAGUGUUGGUAGUGGAGGCAAUGGUACAAGAGAAGGCAGAUGCAGCAAUUCCAGUGACAACAUUGUCACCUCCAGAAGGCAACACAACAUUCCUUGGGGGCACCACAUGGUGUGUGGCCCUUGCAGGUGUGCCUCAAAUUGAUCUGCAGAAUGCAUUAGACUGGGCCUGUGGACUUGGGAUGACUGAUUGCUCUGCAAUCCAAGACGGUGGAGCUUGUUUCGAACCUGACACUCUGCUCUCUCAUGCCUCUUAUGCUUUCAACAACUAUUACCAACAAAAUGGGAAUUCUGAUAUUGCUUGCAAUUUUGGAGGCACUGCCACUCUUACCAAGAGUAACCCUAGUUAUGGAAAAUGCAACUAUGCUGCCUCUGGCUUGGGAUCCCUCCACUCGUCAGCACCUCCAUUGUCCAAGCACAGACCAAACUUUGUAUGGUGGAAGUUUGCUGGGAUUUUGCUGCUUUUGUAAUUGAUAAGCUAUAAUUAUUGGUUUAAUGGAUGAAGCAUGAUGAUGGUUAUGGGGUUAUCAAUUGUGGAGAUGAAAAUGCAUAAGAAUUAGGCUUAAUUAAUUACAAGUGAGAUCUUCUUUUAAAUUUCUAUAUUAGCUGUGAUUAAUCUUUUUGUAAUUGGAAUCACUAAAUUAUUCCUACCUUAAGCUUGUGGGGUCUGGAAUAUGUGUGGUUUUGCUAUGAAAUCCUUACUCCUGCCUUUGUUGUUCC
RNAcentral lists this unclassified non-coding RNA (836 nucleotides) under Hevea brasiliensis (rubber tree). Lineage: Eukaryota; Viridiplantae; Streptophyta; Magnoliopsida; Malpighiales; Euphorbiaceae. The record is from RNAcentral.